Molecule: transfer RNA, 68 nt
Filed under: Asiablatta kyotensis
Lineage: Eukaryota; Metazoa; Arthropoda; Insecta; Blattodea; Blattellidae
Description: tRNA-Asn
Source: RNAcentral
UUAAUCGAAACCAAAAUAGCGGUAUAUUACUGUUAAUAAUAUAAUUGAAUAUUUAUAUUCCGAUUAAG